GGAGACUCUGUGCGCGUGCAUAUCAAUAAGCGGAGGAAAAGAAACUAACAAGGAUUCCCUUAGUAACGGCGAGUGAAGCGGGAAGAGCUCAAAUCUGAAAUCUUCAAGGUUCUACCUUGACGAAUUGUAGUUUAUAGAAGUGUUUUCUGUUAGUAGGAGUGGCAAAAGUUCUCUGGAAUAGGACAUCAUAGAGGGUGAGAAUCCCGUAUUUGGUCAUUCCUUCUAGCUUUGUGAUACACUUUCAAAGAGUCGGAUUGUUUGGGAAUGCAGUCCAAAAUGGGUGGUAAAUUUCAUCUAAAGCUAAAUAUUGGCGAGAGACCGAUAGCGAACAAGUACCGUGAGGGAAAGAUGAAAAGAACUUUGAAAAGAGAGUUAAACAGUACGUGAAAUUGUCAAAAGGGAAGCGUUUGACACCAGUGUUGUUUUUCCGAAAAUCAAUUACGAAUGUUUUAUUUUCUGAGGAAGUUAUGACUUCAUCGGCUUGCCUUCUCUCUUCACUGAAACUUUUGUAAUGCACUUUUCGGUUAACAAGUCAACAUCAAUUUCUUUUGUUGUAAAAGAGUAUGCGGAAGGUGGCUUUCUUUUCGGAGAAAGUGUUUAUAGCCCUAGUACUUCUAGCAAUCGGAGAGAUUGAGGUCUGCAGCGUAGAUCCUUCGGGGUUAGAUACAUUUGUGCUAAGUUAUAGCUUUUCAUAGACAACUUGUUGACUAUGUUUAGUCUUGUAGCUUACUCGCUUAUGCUAUUUUACCUACGCUUAGGAUGUUGACGAUCAGCUGAGCGCG
Molecule: ribosomal RNA, 782 nt
Filed under: uncultured Neocallimastigales
Lineage: Eukaryota; Fungi; Neocallimastigomycota; Neocallimastigomycetes; Neocallimastigales
Description: partial large subunit ribosomal RNA
Rfam family: Eukaryotic large subunit ribosomal RNA
Source: RNAcentral